This is a non-coding RNA of Theobroma cacao (cacao), 331 nucleotides long. The record is from RefSeq and is a predicted model, not a curated record. Lineage: Eukaryota; Viridiplantae; Streptophyta; Magnoliopsida; Malvales; Malvaceae.
UAAAGGCAAGGGAAUUGCAUCCGAGGACUAGUAGCCUGAGUAUUUGAAAAAUCCCCACUCUAGACAUUGCUCAGAGUAGGCUGUAGAUAACUGGUUCCAUCGGGGAUUUCCAUUGGAUUGUGUCUUCCAAACUGUAGGUUCACAGCUUCUUUAAUUUUGAUUAUUGUGGGCCCACUUGAUAUUGUAAAUUUAAAUUAAUUUAAAUACUGUAGUUUAUUGCGUUACAGUAUAAAUAAAUUUAUUUUAUUUUUAUGUUACAAAAAGUAUUUACGCAUAACUCCAAAAUUACUGUAUAUAACAAAUAAAAUAUUUUAUUGAAUAUUUUGUUUUA